GUAACACUAACUGGAGGACCGAACCGACUAAUGUUGAAAAAUUAGCGGAUGACCUGUGGCUGGGGGUGAAAGGCCAAUCAAACCGGGAGAUAGCUGGUUCUCCCCGAAAGCUAUUUAGGUAGCGCCUCGUGAAUUCAUCUCCGGGGGUAGAGCACUGUUUCGGCUAGGGGGCCAUCCCGGCUUACCAACCCGAUGCAAACUGCGAAUACCGGAGAAUGUUAUCACGGGAGACACACGGCGGGUGCUAACGUCCGUCGUGAAGAGGGAAACAACCCAGACCGCCAGCUAAGGUCCCAAAGUCAUGGUUAAGUGGGAAACGAUGUGGGAAGGCCCAGACAGCCAGGAUGUUGGCUUAGAAGCAGCCAUCAUUUAAAGAAAGCGUAAUAGCUCACUGGUCGAGUCGGCCUGCGCG
This 412-nucleotide ribosomal RNA is filed under the name Salmonella enterica. Its description in RNAcentral is "partial 23S ribosomal RNA". It matches the Rfam family "Bacterial large subunit ribosomal RNA", at positions 756 to 1165 of the family's 2925-position model. RNAcentral also lists the same sequence under 1 other name. The record is from RNAcentral. Lineage: Bacteria; Pseudomonadati; Pseudomonadota; Gammaproteobacteria; Enterobacterales; Enterobacteriaceae.